AUUGCCCUAGUAACGGCGAGUGAAGCGGCAAUAGCUCAAAUUUGAAAUCCGGCAAAGCUCUAGGGUCCGAGUUGUAAUUUGUAGAGGGUGCUUUGGCACUGAUGGCGGUCUAAGUUCCUUGGAACAGGACAUCACAGAGGGUGAGAAUCCCGUAUGUGGUCGCUAAUCUUUGCCGUGUAAAGCCCCUUCAACGAGUCGAGUUGUUUGGGAAUGCAGCUCUAAAUGGGAGGUAAAUUUCUUCUAAAGCUAAAUAUUGGCCAGAGACCGAUAGCGCACAAGUAGAGUGAUCGAAAGAUGAAAAGCACUUUGGAAAGAGAGUCAAAAAGCACGUGAAAUUGUUGAAAGGGAAGCGCUUGCCGCCAGACUUGCCUGCAGUUGCUCACCUAGGCGUUCAGCCUGGGGCACUCUUCUGCAGGCAGGCCAGCAUCAGUUUGGGCAGCCGGAUAAAGGUCUCUGACACGUUCCUUCUACCUUUGUGUAGAUGGUCAUAUAGGGGAGACGUCAUGCGGUUAGCCCGGACUGAGGUCCGCGCAUUGCUAGGAUGCUGGCGUAAUGGCUGCAAGCGGCCCGUCUUGAAACACGGACCAAGGAGUCUAACAUCUAUGCGAGUGUUUGGGUGUCAAGCCCGAGCGCGCAAUAAACGUGAACGGAGGUGGGAACCCUCUUUUGGGGGUGCACCAUCGACCGAUCCUGAUGUCUUCGGAUGGAUUUGAGUAAGAGCAUAGCUGUUGGGACCCGAAAGAUGGUGAACUAUGCUUGAAUAGGGUGAAGCCAGAGGAAACUCUGGUGGAGGCUCGCAGCGGUUCUGACGUGCAAAUCGAUC
RNAcentral lists this ribosomal RNA (823 nucleotides) under Neohelicascus gallicus. RNAcentral describes it as "partial large subunit ribosomal RNA". It matches the Rfam family "Eukaryotic large subunit ribosomal RNA", at positions 74 to 903 of the family's 3401-position model. Lineage: Eukaryota; Fungi; Ascomycota; Dothideomycetes; Pleosporales; Morosphaeriaceae. The record is from RNAcentral.